UCGCUGUGAUGAUUGAUUCCUAGACAUUCGUAGUUUCCACCGAAAGCUUGGCUAAUGAUGGGCCCAAACUUCCUUGGAUGUCUGAGCGA
Choloepus didactylus (southern two-toed sloth) is the source of this 89-nucleotide small nucleolar RNA. RefSeq annotates it as small nucleolar RNA SNORD14. NCBI's taxonomy places the organism in Eukaryota, Metazoa, Chordata, Mammalia, Pilosa, Megalonychidae. The transcript has a single exon. The record is from RefSeq and is a predicted model, not a curated record.